Long non-coding RNA from Cornus florida, 1920 nucleotides. RefSeq lists it as uncharacterized. The transcript has 4 exons. The record is from RefSeq and is a predicted model, not a curated record. NCBI's taxonomy places the organism in Eukaryota, Viridiplantae, Streptophyta, Magnoliopsida, Cornales, Cornaceae.
CAAUGCUCCUUCAUCAAUCAUCCCUCUUUAAAACCCUCCCUUGCCAGAACCCCACACAAUUUGUAUUUAUCUGAACCUCAAAAAUGGCCGUCUCAUUCUAAUUUUACCCUCCACAUACCUCAAAACCCCACUCUCCACCGUCCUCUCCACAUCUCAAACGUCCUCUGCAACCCCAAACCCACCACCACCACCACCACCACCACCACCACCACCGUCGUAAACCCCAAAACCUCUAUUUCUCGAUUCUCGAAGACAAACUCAGAUUGGGUUCUAAUGUACUCGUCAAAGUCCUCCAAAUCGUGACAAUGCAUUGCUCGACUGAGUCCUCAUUGUUCCGUUGUCGGGCAAGUCCAGAGAGGAGUGAUCGGCAGACGAAACGCCAAUUGUAGUAUUACCUUCCAGUAUUGCCGAGCCCAGUAGCGUGGGCUUGUAACCAAUGCGGGGCAUUAAAGUGGUUUUCUAUUUGAUCAUUUCAUAUCCACUUAACUUUGGGAAAGGAGCUGAGCAUAAGCUAGACUUUUUUCAUCUUGGAGGCAGGAACUAGAUGAGCAUAAAAGGAAUUGCUCAUUGAGUUACUAGACUUUUGGAGAUGCUAUUCCUCCUCAAAGGUGCUGGACAAGUUGACCAGGAGUAAUGCGAUAAUAAGUACUGGUAUUGGGCAGCAUAGAAUGUGGAUGGCACAGUUUAACAAGUAUAAUAGGUCAAUUGGGAUUAAUGGGUUUUGGGUUGCCUGCUGGAGCUGCUGUUACAAGGUCGGUUGUGGACAUUGAUGGCGAUGGAAUUUUUAUCAUGAAUGUCCAGGAGGAGUUGACAGUUUGGCUGGAGAAUCUUCCCAAUUAGAUCACAUUACGGGAUGAUUCGCAUUUGGGGUAAUGGUUGUCCGAUGGGAGUAUCAGUUCUAUAAGGCUAAUAGGCCCACACAUAUCUAGGUAAACCAUCAAAUGAGAAAAAUUCCCAGAUGUAUUAAAGUUUGCAGAAGCUUACGAGACACCUGCUACCCUUGUGAUGAAGAAAGGAGAUCUCAGGACUGCAAGUUUGGAAAUGUUGGAUACACCUGGGCCAUACUUAUGUGAUGUUGUCAUACCUCGUCAAGAGCAUGUCCUCACUAUGAUCCCCAGUGAUGGAUCCUUCAAAGUCAAAGAUGUGAUUACUAAGGAGAUCAAUAUAUUGACGAGCAAAUCUUGGCUCAAACUCAACGAUUCUAAACUUGCCAAAAAAAGGUUGUCGUGUUGGAAAAGAUUUGAUCUUCGCUACCUACUAGAGGAACGAAACGUUUCAUCUAUCUCGGAGAUGGAAGUGCUGAUUUUUGCGUGGGUUUGACGCUUGAAGAAUUAUCUGAUGCGAAGGAAGAACUUUCCGUUGUGGGAGAUCAUUAGCAGCAACCCAGAGCUUGUCAAGGCAGAGAUUCGUGAAUGGUGUGACGGAGAGGAGUUCCGGAGUACCUUACUCCAUCUUAUUGACAAAAUCUCCAUUGAAGAGAAUUGGAGAGGUGAAUUUGUAAGUUGCAUACAAAUUCUGUACCUACACAUGAACCCUUCCAAAAUGCUAUACCAGUUUGUGGAGGGAAAAAGCCCCACCAGUCAUAACACAUCACGUGGCGGUGAAAAGCAGCCCACAACCAAAUUAAGAUAACUAGAAGCUCACAAUCAGUGGAAGGCCCAACAGAGGAGGCCUUAUGCAUGUACCAGUUCAGCUCAAUUAAAAUGAAAGAAGUUUUACUUUACACAAGGGCUGAAUGGGCGGCCCAGUCUUAACAAGGCCCAAAUUCCAUAACGCUUGCCAUAAUGAUGUAUGCAUGAUCAGUAGGCAUAAUUACUCACGUUUGGGAAUAAAAGCCAAGAAACGGCUCCAUGUAAAUCUCUGAGAAAAAACUUAUAAAUAGAGCCUGAAUGAGAAUGAAGAGGCAUCGAAUUCCCAAUA